RNAcentral lists this ribosomal RNA (458 nucleotides) under Porphyromonas sp. oral taxon E21. Its description in RNAcentral is "bacterial SSU rRNA". It matches the Rfam family "Bacterial small subunit ribosomal RNA", at positions 28 to 474 of the family's 1533-position model. Lineage: Bacteria; Pseudomonadati; Bacteroidota; Bacteroidia; Bacteroidales; Porphyromonadaceae. The record is from RNAcentral.
GAUGAACGCUAGCGAUAGGCUUAACACAUGCAAGUCGAGGGGCAGCAUGGUCUUAGCUUGCUAAGACUGAUGGCGACCGGCGCACGGGUGCGUAACGCGUAUGCAACUUGCCUCACAGAGGGGGAUAACCCGUCGAAAGACGGACUAAUACCGCGUACACUUACCGGAGGGCAUCCUUCAGUAAGGAAAUGAAUUUCGCUGUGAGAUAGGCAUGCGUCCCAUUAGCUAGUUGGUGAGGUAACGGCUCACCAAGGCGACGAUGGGUAGGGGACACUGAGAGGUUGAACCCCCACACUGGUACUGAGACACGGACCAGACUCCUACGGGAGGCAGCAGUGAGGAAUAUUGGUCAAUGGGCGAGAGCCUGAACCAGCCAAGUCGCGUGAAGGAUGACUGUCUUAUGGAUUGUAAACUUCUUUUGUAGGGGAAUAAAGACUGGCACGUGUGCUGGAGUGAAU